UCGAUGCCAAGACGAAGGUAGGUGAAAGAGAAGACCCCUCGAACAAGAACGAGUCUCCAGAAGCGAUCGAGUCGAGCAGGAAGACGACUUUUUGAAUUUCGCCGAGCGAGCGCUGAUGACGUAAUGAGGGAUUAGCUUGCCAGUGGAAAUGCAUCUGCGCACAUACAUUUCACAUACUUUUUGGCCAAUUUUCAAUCGAAGAGGAGGUUGUUUUCUAUGUUCUCUCAACGUCGUGAGCGAUCCCGUCUUCUAUACCCUUCCAGGUACCCUGAAGGUCCUCCAGAGGAGAAUUUAUCUCCAGCGAAGCGUUGUUGAUCCGCUAAAUUCGUCUCGAGACAUAUUCACCCAGUGCAGUGCUGAUAAAUGUAGAAUGUUGAAUCUGUGAUAAUUGUUGACGAUGGAGAGAGAGGCUGAAAGCCGCUGUCGCAGGGAGAGUGAAGCUGCUGGAAGUAACAACGGGGAGCCCGUUUGUAUCACCUGAACAACCAGACUUCAAAGCAGCUUGACCAAAUCGGAGGGUGCCUCGGUGCUUAUCGUGAAUAUUACACCGACAUGAAUUACUACAAGUACACUGGUCUGUCCAAUAUGCAUUGACAGUAUUGGGUAUGGUAUCUGCUCUGAGAAGGGAAUCGCUGGAGCCACAGUCCAACUAGACAGGCUUUCAAGAAACAGAGAGGAUCCAUCUUUCCAAGCUGAUACCUGAUGUGUACCGACAGAAUUCUCACGAGAUACCUUACGGACAACGUGUGGUGUGUACUUCAUAGUACUCCUUCGACUACUAUCUAGAAUCAAGUCGACCGAAACGAGUCAAACAACUCUGGCUUCAAACGAGCCGUCGAUUAGACAAACAAAACAUUCUCUCAUAUACUGGAGCACUCUGACAACUCACGACCUAUUCCUAACGAUUUCCACCGCUUAUACAUAUGUAGAGUGCUGAUUGGAAUGUGCUCACAAUUUCAACAAUUCAGUGCUAUAAUUAUUUGAACAAUGUGUUAGAAAUUAUUCCACUUUUCCUUCCAUAAAUGUUGUAUCCACAUAUAAUCCACAGUGCUCCGAAGUUUCAGAGUUCUCAGGGUAUCAAACAAAAUUAUUUCGAAUACAGUGAAAUUGUUCGUGGACAUUAUAGCGUAACUAAUUUACGUGUAGUUCCCUGGUCCUUUUCUUUGCUAUAAAUUAAUCCUUUGCUCUCUAGCCGCCUGCGAGUCCAACAGUGAAAUUGUUAGUUCAUUUUUAUAAUGUGGGUAUGUGGGAGGGGGUUGAACAUAUUUUUUAUAUAAGGGACCUGCAACUGUAAUACCACAGUACAGUAGCCGGCAAAUAUGUAGAAAACAGAAAUGCAUGUUCCCAUCAUUGUACAUGGACGGGCACAGCAGGCUGAAGCUAUCAGCCAGAACAGGAUUUACAAUCACUUAGAGAUACUUGAGCUAUUCCAGUAUUCUCCGUGAGCUGUCCCAUUCCACAAUGGUUCAUGCCACCAUUAUUUCUGGUAGUAUCCAUGUGCAUAGUUCCAAGACCAUCUCGGAUUCUUCAGCAAUUUGUGCCACGGCAAAAGACAAUGCUUGACUCGGUCACUGGGGCUGUCAAACUUCCCAUCACAAAUGAACUUCAAUUUCUCAUCUGUUUCAAGUAUAUGUACUGCCAUGACUUGACCAUGCUUCAUCCACAGCUGGGCGAAGAUUGUGGCGUUGAA
Sycon ciliatum is the source of this 1690-nucleotide long non-coding RNA. RefSeq lists it as uncharacterized. The record is from RefSeq and is a predicted model, not a curated record. NCBI's taxonomy places the organism in Eukaryota, Metazoa, Porifera, Calcarea, Leucosolenida, Sycettidae. The transcript is spliced from 2 exons.